This is an RNA transcript of Hemibagrus wyckioides, 4090 nucleotides long. It is a transcript of the gene named mitogen-activated protein kinase 8 interacting protein 1b, with no coding region annotated. The transcript is spliced from 13 exons. Lineage: Eukaryota; Metazoa; Chordata; Actinopteri; Siluriformes; Bagridae. The record is from RefSeq and is a predicted model, not a curated record.
CCUCCCGCCGGCGUUAUCGCAGCAUCACACCUCCCUGUUUCUGCUCCUGAAGCUGCUGAUGAAUGAAAAAAGGAGGCGGAAGAAGAAAUGGCGGAGAGAGAGAAGCGAAAAAGCCCGACUCCUGCUCAUUCUUCCCGGGCUACACAGCCCCGAGCCGCCGGCGCGAGCUUCAGGUUGACCCAUGAUAUAAGCUUAGAUGAGUUUGAGGAUGAGGAUUUGUCCGAAAUCACAGAGAUCACAGAUGAGCGAGGCCUCAGCCUUAACUGCAAUGGCUUCGACAUCAAGGGUCAUGUGGUGCGGCCAUCCAGUAGUGUCGCUCGGAGGGCGGAGCCAGGCGCAGCGGGGCAUGUCUGCUCAGAGACGCUUCCCUUAGAGAUGAUCACUGGAGCUGAGGGAACACACACAAGUGACUCGAGCACACGCUCCAAGGAUACAUACACCAUGGACACGUACAGACCCAAACGGCCAACAACGCUCAACCUGUUCCCACAGGUGCCUCGCACACAGGACACGCUGAACAACAACUCGUUUGGAAAGAAGUACAGCUGGCAGGAGAAAGUCUCACACUCGACUUCACCACAGAAAGCAGGUGACCUGGCACCUCGUGAGCACAUCUGUUUAAGUGACGAGGACAAAAUCAAAACCGAAACCAAAGACUGCGGCACCUCGACAGACACACCCACCAAACGCCCAGCCCCUCCCAGACAGGCUGCUCAGUCUGUAGCCCCGCCCACUAAAAGUAGUGCAUGCGAGCAGUCCGGGCAUCGUGAGCGUAUUCGAUAUCACGCAGAUCUGUGCGUAGAGGCAACCGAGGAGAUUUACCUGACUCCUGACAGACCAGGCCGCAUGUCGGUCAUCACAGACGAUGAGGCCCCGCCCCCUUAUCACCCUCCACUUCAGGAAAAGGCGAAUGCACCUAUCAUGGAGGACGAAGAGGAGGAGCCUCCGCCGUCUUAUGCGUCCUGUGUCGCGGCUUCAGCAUCACUGGACCUCAGGAGUAGAAGGAUAAACAGACGAGGAAGUUUGGAUCUCAGGAGGAGAGGACGGAAGGAAGAAGAAACCGAGGAGGAAGACGAAGAGGAAACUAGGAUUUCUUCGAACGGACUCUCGUACGAUUCAGUGAAAUACACACUGGUGGUGGAUGAGGACGCGCAGCUGGAGCUCGUGAGCUUGAAAGAGUGCUUUCACAGCUACAGCGAUGACAGCGACUCGGCCACGGUCUACGAUAAUUGCGUCUCAUCACCAUAUGGUGAGGAAUUUGAGGACGAGGAAGUGGAUAUACAUGAAGUGCGUGGUGCCAGAGGGGUGAGAAUGGGCGGAGCCAGGCGAGAAGCCACUGCUUGCUUAUCAGAAGACUCCACGCCCGAGGCAGAUAUUCCGUUUUCUAGAAAGUUCCUCAACGUCUUUAUGAAUGGCCGAUCACGUUCUUCCAGUUCAGAGUCCUUUGGUUUGUUUUCCUGUGUUGUUAACGGAGAAGAGAGAGAUCAGAGUCACCGAGCUGUGUACAGGUUUAUCCCUCGGCACGAGGACGAGUUGGAGCUGGAGGUGGACGAUCCUUUACUAGUGGAGGUCCAGGCAGAGGAUUUCUGGUACGAAGGCUACAACAUGCGCACCGGAGUGCGGGGGAUCUUUCCCGCCUACUACGCCAUCGAAGUGACCAAGGAGACCGAGCCGAUUAAAAAAGCAGUGAGAAGUGCAGACUGGAUAGAGAGGUACAGCCUGAAAUUCCUCGGCUCUGUCCAGGUUCCCUACCACAAAGGAAACGAGGUGCUCUGUGCCGCCAUGCAGAAGGUCGCCAACAACAGGAGGAUGACUCUGCAUUAUAAUCCUCCUUCAUCCUGCAUACUGGAAAUCAACAUGAAAGGAGUGAAACUGGACGUGCAGGACGAUUACGGAGCAUACGACAGAACUAGUCAAUGCAGACACUUCUUCCAGCUGAAGAACAUCUCGUUCUGUGGCUACCAUCCGAAAAACAACAAAUACUUUGGCUUCAUCACGAAACAUCCUGCAGACCAGAGAUUCGCCUGCCACGUGUUCGUGUCUGAAAACUCCACCAAGGCCUUGGCUGAGGCUGUGGGGAAAGCAUUCCAGCUGUAUUAUAAAGAGUUCGUGGAGUUUUCCUGUCCAACAGAAGACAUCUAUCUGGAAUAAAUAAACACAGCACUGCUAGCAGAUCCGUGUACAGAUCACACAGGAGGACUGUUUUGCAUGACGGGUGAAGCAGUAACGUAACCGAAACACUAACACAGAGGACGGCGUUACAUGCUUAUGGAUUUGAUAUAACAAGAGAAAAGAAAAGAGCUGGAUUGGGUUUGGAUUGACUGAAGAACACUCAUCAUCACAUCACACUCACAUGGAGUAAAACAUAUUAUUUUAUACCUCACUGCUAUUAAUGGCGCCACAGAAAACUCUGAGAUCAUCGGUUUCACAUAAUCGAAAUGUCUGCAUUUACACAGGAAACAGGAAACACUGGUGUACGCUGGUCACUCUGUUCACUCUACACUUUUCUGUCUUUCAGAAUAUUGACGUCUGAUUGGCUCUUCAGACGAGACAGGAAAACCUUUUACUAUAUAUAGAAAGCAGUUCACCAGAAAAACCACACAGAAUGUCACAGGAGAAACAGCAGGCUGAUUAAGGACGUCUGAACAUCGUCGAGAGAAGACUUUUCAGAAACGACGGAGCAACAGAUGAAACCCAAAAGGAAUCCGACUGGACCGUCUGACUGCACUAAUCAACAUGUAGUCUGAAAUACACCACUAACCAUGACGUACGAACACGUUCCCGCUUCCUCCUCUGCAGUAUUUUAGAGCUCCAGACACUAAAGCUUACUCUGAUUUAACCGAAUAUUAUUUAUUAACAAUGGCUGGAAGUUAUACAGUCAUAUCUAAUCUACAGUGCAGCAGUUGGUGCUGACAGACUGGACAUCGCACGGUACCGAAGGAUUUCCUCAGCCGCUGCGUUGCUGAUUAUUAACGAUCUCAGUUCCAAGUAACAGACUCUGAUGCUUUUCUGCACUGCCCUGUUCAAUUUCAUUUCAAGAUAUUUCAUUAUGAAUUUCUUUAUCCUUCCGCUGAGGUCACUUUACUGUAGCUAACACGUACCAGAAGUACCAGCAGGAUGUAAACCACAUCGUCUGCACCAUCACACGCGCCUCACGUCGUUCAGUAGCGCAGACACACUUCCCGGUUGUUGUCUGAUGCUGUAGGACACCGUUUUAUUUGUUAAAAAAAAAAAAAGGAUAAAUGUCGGGGUCAGAGAACUCAGAAACAGGAGUAGAGGACAAGAUGAAGAUGGAGUGAUUUCAGAUUUCCAGUGUGGAACUGUAAAACGGGAAGAUCUGAGACUUCCUGUUUGAUGUAACAUGGCAUGGGAAUUCGAACAUGAACAGAUCCAGACGCUAGCCUAGUGAUCUAGCUAGUUAGGCAGGGGAAGUCCUGUUAGUGCAGGACGAGGAGAAGGAGGGAGAGGAGAUGUAACAGAUGAGGACAAAUGACAUCCUAAUGAGCUGAAUGUCUGAGUGUUUGAGGAGUGAGUUAUAAAGCUUACACAAAGUUAAACUGCUGUCUAUUUCUGGCUGCGCUUUAAUAUGAAUAUUAGAGCAAGAGUUUGCAGAGAUGGUGAGUUAUGAUUGAUCUUUAAAUCAAAGCGGAUUAUUCUUCCUGUUUCUACAGGGAUUUAACUCUGAUCUGGGAAGCACAUUUCACAAUAAGAGUCAUCGGUUUAUUUCCUAUAGUGCCUUUUUUCAUGGUUGAUUUCCUCAUCAGCGUUCUGCCUGUGAGUCCGAAUGAGUUUAGCGAUGCAGCGUCAGACGGGAGUGUUUGCGGACAGGAGUAUGUCCUGUCGCUGAUUUUACAAGGGCUAAGAGAUUACACGUAUCAGACGGACACGAUGACGCUAAGAGUCAUCACACGUUCUAUCAACUGAAGAUUUCUAAAAGAGUUUUAUCUGCGUUAAAAGUUUGAAAGUUUUCAGUUCAGAAAGUUUUUGUUGUUGUUGUUUUAGUCUGAACCCUGAAAUUCAUGAAAUUCCUCCGGACCUGUGGGAACUCCUGAGCUCAUUGUAAUAAAUCAUUUUGUAAAGUGUGAAUAUG